This 253-nucleotide ribosomal RNA is filed under the name uncultured bacterium. RNAcentral's name for it is "partial 16S ribosomal RNA". It matches the Rfam family "Bacterial small subunit ribosomal RNA", at positions 524 to 776 of the family's 1533-position model. The record is from RNAcentral.
UACAGAGGUCUCGAGCGUUGUUCGGAUUCAUUGGGCGUAAAGGGUGCGUAGGUGGCAGGGUAAGUCGGAUGUGAAAUCCCGGGGCUCAACCUCGGAACUGCAUUCGAUACUGCUUUGCUUGAGUACUGGAGAGGAGAUUGGAAUUUACGGUGUAGCAGUGAAAUGCGUAGAUAUCGUAAGGAAGACCAGUGGCGAAGGCGGAUCUCUGGACAGUUACUGACACUGAGGCACGAAGGCCAGGGGAGCAAACGGG